CCUACGGGAGGCAGCAGUGGGGAAUUUUGGACAAUGGGCGCAAGCCUGAUCCAGCCAUGCCGCGUGCGGGAAGAAGGACUUCGGGUUGUAAACCGCUUUUGUCAGGGAAGAAACGCUCUGGGCUAAUACCCUGGGGUAAUGACGGUACCUGAAGAAUAAGCACCGGCUAACUACGUGCCAGCAGCCGCGGUAAUACGCAGGGUGCAAGCGUUAAUCGGAAUUACUGGGCGUAAAGCGUGCGCAGGCGGUCUUGCAAGACAGAUGUGAAAUCCCCGGGCUCAACCUGGGAACUGCAUUUGUGACUGCAAGGCUAGAGUACGGUAGAGGGGGAUGGAAUUCCGCGUGUAGCAGUGAAAUGCGUAGAUAUGCGGAGGAACACCGAUGGCGAAGGCAAUCCCCUGGACCUGUACUGACGCUCAUGCACGAAAGCGUGGGGAGCAAACAGGAUUAGAUACCCUGGUAGUCCACGCCCUAAACGAUGUCAACUGGUUGUUGGGAAGGUUCCUUCUCAGUAACGUAGCUAACGCGUGAAAGUUGACCGCCUGGGGAGUACGGCCGCAAGGUUGAAACUCAAAUUGAAUUGACGGCNGAGAGNGCGAGACGACACGAGGAGGAGG
This 617-nucleotide ribosomal RNA is filed under the name uncultured bacterium. RNAcentral's name for it is "bacterial SSU rRNA". It matches the Rfam family "Bacterial small subunit ribosomal RNA", at positions 338 to 944 of the family's 1533-position model. The record is from RNAcentral.